RNAcentral lists this ribosomal RNA (519 nucleotides) under Bifidobacterium dentium. Its description in RNAcentral is "bacterial SSU rRNA". It matches the Rfam family "Bacterial small subunit ribosomal RNA", at positions 160 to 689 of the family's 1533-position model. The record is from RNAcentral. Lineage: Bacteria; Bacillati; Actinomycetota; Actinomycetes; Bifidobacteriales; Bifidobacteriaceae.
GUGGUAAUGCCGGAUGCUCCGGUUGGAUGCAUGUCCUUCCGGGAAAGGUUCCAUCGGUAUGGGAUGGGGUCGCGUCCUAUCAGCUUGAUGGCGGGGUAACGGCCCACCAUGGCUUCGACGGGUAGCCGGCCUGAGAGGGCGACCGGCCACAUUGGGACUGAGAUACGGCCCAGACUCCUACGGGAGGCAGCAGUGGGGAAUAUUGCACAAUGGGCGCAAGCCUGAUGCAGCGACGCCGCGUGCGGGAUGGAGGCCUUCGGGUUGUAAACCGCUUUUGAUCGGGAGCAAGCCCUUCGGGGUGAGUGUACCUUUCGAAUAAGCACCGGCUAACUACGUGCCAGCAGCCGCGGUAAUACGUAGGGUGCAAGCGUUAUCCGGAAUUAUUGGGCGUAAAGGGCUCGUAGGCGGUUCGUCGCGUCCGGUGUGAAAGCCCAUCGCUUAACGGUGGGUCUGCGCCGGGUACGGGCGGGCUGGAGUGCGGUAGGGGAGACUGGAAUUCCCGGUGUAACGGUGGAAUGU